RNAcentral lists this ribosomal RNA (464 nucleotides) under uncultured bacterium. RNAcentral describes it as "partial 16S ribosomal RNA". It matches the Rfam family "Bacterial small subunit ribosomal RNA", at positions 29 to 507 of the family's 1533-position model. The record is from RNAcentral.
ACGAACGCUGGCGGCGUGCUUAACACAUGCAAGUCGAACGGAAAGGCCCUGCUUGCAGGGUACUCGAGUGGCGAACGGGCGAGUAACACGUGGGUGAUCUGCCCUGCACUUCGGGAUAAGCCUGGGAAACUGGGUCUAAUACCGGAUAGGAGCCAUUUUUAGUGUGAUGGUUGGAAAGUUUUUUCGGUGUAGGAUGAGCUCGCGGCCUAUCAGCUUGUUGGUGGGGUAAUGGCCUACCAAGGCGGCGACGGGUAGCCGGCCUGAGAGGGUGGACGGCCACAUUGGGACUGAGAUACGGCCCAGACUCCUACGGGAGGCAGCAGUGGGGAAUAUUGCACAAUGGGCGCAAGCCUGAUGCAGCGACGCCGCGUGGGGGAUGACGGCCUUCGGGUUGUAAACUCCUUUCGCUAGGGACGAAGCUUUUUGUGACGGUACCUAGAUAAGAAGCACCGGCUAACUACGUG